RNAcentral lists this ribosomal RNA (497 nucleotides) under uncultured bacterium. RNAcentral's name for it is "partial 16S ribosomal RNA". It matches the Rfam family "Bacterial small subunit ribosomal RNA", at positions 28 to 507 of the family's 1533-position model. The record is from RNAcentral.
GAUGAACGCUGGCGGCGUGCCUAAUACAUGCAAGUCGAGCGAACAGACGAGGAGCUUGCUCCUCUGACGUUAGCGGCGGACGGGUGAGUAACACGUGGAUAACCUACCUAUAAGACUGGGAUAACUUCGGGAAACCGGAGCUAAUACCGGAUAAUAUCUUGAACCGCAUGGUUCAAUAGUGAAAGACGGUUUUGCUGUCACUUAUAGAUGGAUCCGCGCCGCAUUAGCUAGUUGGUAAGGUAACGGCUUACCAAGGCAACGAUGCGUAGCCGACCUGAGAGGGUGAUCGGCCACACUGGAACUGGGACACGGUCCAGACUCCUGCGGGAGGCAGCAGUAGGGAAUCUUCCGCAGUGGGCGAAAGCCUGACGGAGCAACGCCGCGUGAGUGAUGAAGGUCUUCGGAUCGUAAAACUCUGUUAUUAGGGAAGAACAAAUGUGUAAGUAACUAUGCACGUAUUGACGGUACCUAAUCAGAAAGCCACGGCUAACUACGUG